GUGCUCGCUCUGGCAGCACAUAUACUAAAACUGGAACAACAGAGAGAUAAGCACGGCCCUUGUACAAGGAUAACAUGCAAAUUCGUUAAGCAUUCCGUCUUUUU
Rhinopithecus bieti (black snub-nosed monkey) is the source of this 104-nucleotide small nuclear RNA. The record is from Ensembl. Lineage: Eukaryota; Metazoa; Chordata; Mammalia; Primates; Cercopithecidae.